AUACGGAGGAUGCGAGCGUUAUCCGGAUUUAUUGGGUUUAAAGGGUGCGUAGGCGGACGAUUAAGUCAGCUGUGAAAUGCCCGCGCUUAACGCGGGCAGUGCAGUUGAUACUGGUUGUCUGGAGUGCCGUUGCCGUGGGGGGAAUGUGUAGUGUAGCGGUGAAAUGCAUAGAUAUGACGAAGAACACCGAUUGCGUAGGCAGCUGACCAGACCGCAAAUGACGCUCAUGCACGAAAGUGCGGGGAUCGAACAGGAUUAGAUACCCUGGUAGUCCGCACAGUAAACGAUGAAUACUUGUUUUCGGCGAUAUAAUGUCGGAGGCAAAGCGAAAGCGAUAAGUAUUCCACCUGGGGAGUACGCCGGCAACGGUGAAACUCAAAUGAAUUGACGGGG
This 393-nucleotide ribosomal RNA is filed under the name uncultured bacterium. Its description in RNAcentral is "partial 16S ribosomal RNA". It matches the Rfam family "Bacterial small subunit ribosomal RNA", at positions 523 to 918 of the family's 1533-position model. The record is from RNAcentral.